RNAcentral lists this ribosomal RNA (97 nucleotides) under uncultured bacterium. RNAcentral describes it as "partial 16S ribosomal RNA". It matches the Rfam family "Bacterial small subunit ribosomal RNA", at positions 1388 to 1482 of the family's 1533-position model. The record is from RNAcentral.
CACCGCCCGUCACACCAUGGGAGUCGGUUGCUCCAGAAGCAGGUAGCCUAACCCGCAAGGGAGGGCGCUUGCCAAGGAGUGAUCGGUGACUGGGGUG